UUCCUUGUUUCUGAAGAAGAGCCCGUAGCGGUCGUUUCAGCUGUCUUAACUUCUUUACCAAUCGAAACAUAGGAACUCCUUCUAUCAUAGUAGACCAUCUAUUCUGAACCACUUCAAUGAAAUCAGAUUUAUAAACCAGAAAAUUGGGAAAUUUAAAUGGUUUGGGUUUAUUCGCAUUUAUGGAUGACAUUUUAAGACCAUGCCACAUUUUUUUCUGUAUAAAAGUGUUUUUAUUAGGUUGGGCCAUUGAAAUCUUUUUGCUAGCAAUACAAGCGUUGUGCUACUGAAUGCUACAUCCUAGAUGGCGAAAGUCCAGUAUCCGAAAACAUCACUAGCUUACGCUCUGACCCGAAGAGCAUGAGGAACGUGGAAUCCCGUGUGAAUCAGCAAUUACCACCUUGCAAGGCUAAAUACUCCUGGGUGACUGAUAGCGAAGUAGUACCGUGAGGGAAGGGUGAAAAGAACCACCAUCAGGGAGUGAAAUAAAACAUGAAA
RNAcentral lists this long non-coding RNA (495 nucleotides) under Helianthus annuus (common sunflower). Its description in RNAcentral is "sRNA HanXRQr2_Chr09g0377041". It matches the Rfam family "Bacterial large subunit ribosomal RNA", at positions 1 to 555 of the family's 2925-position model. The record is from RNAcentral. Lineage: Eukaryota; Viridiplantae; Streptophyta; Magnoliopsida; Asterales; Asteraceae.